GCGGGUGUGGUAUAAUGGUAGCACGAAAGCUUCCCAAGCUUUAGACGAGGGUUCGAUUCCCUUCGCCCGCACCA
This 74-nucleotide transfer RNA is filed under the name Alphaproteobacteria bacterium. Its description in RNAcentral is "tRNA-Gly". It matches the Rfam family "tRNA". Rfam says of the family: Transfer RNA (tRNA) molecules are approximately 80 nucleotides in length. Their secondary structure includes four short double-helical elements and three loops (D, anti-codon, and T loops). The record is from RNAcentral. Lineage: Bacteria; Pseudomonadati; Pseudomonadota; Alphaproteobacteria. RNAcentral also lists the same sequence under 1 other name.